AGUCGACGAUGAAGCCUAGCUUGCUGGGUGGAUUAGUGGCGAACGGGUGAGUAACACGUGAGCAACCUGCCCCUGACUCUGGGAUAAGCGCUGGAAACGGCGUCUAAUACUGGAUAUGUCCCAUCACCGCAUGGUGUGUGGGUGGAAAGAUUUUUCGGUUGGGGAUGGGCUCGCGGCCUAUCAGCUUGUUGGUGAGGUAAUGGCUCACCAAGGCGUCGACGGGUAGCCGGCCUGAGAGGGUGACCGGCCACACUGGGACUGAGACACGGCCCAGACUCCUACGGGAGGCAGCAGUGGGGAAUAUUGCACAAUGGGCGGAAGCCUGAUGCAGCAACGCCGCGUGAGGGAUGACGGCCUUCGGGUUGUAAACCUCUUUUAGCAGGGAAGAAGCGAGAGUGACGGUACCUGCAGAAAAAGCACCGGCUAACUACGUGCCAGCAGCCGCGGUAAUACGUAGGGUGCAAGCGUUAUCCGGAAUUAUUGGGCGUAAAGAGCUCGUAGGCGGUCUGUCGCGUCUGCUGUGAAAUUCCGAGGCUCAACCUCGGGCUUGCAGUGGGUACGGGCAGACUAGAGUGCGGUAGGGGAGAUUGGAAUUCCUGGUGUAGCGGUGGAAUGCGCAGAUAUCAGGAGGAACACCGAUGGCGAAGGCAGAUCUCUGGGCCGUAACUGACGCUGAGGAGCGAAAGGGUGGGGAGCAAACAGGCUUAGAUACCCUGGUAGUCCACCCCGUAAACGUUGGGAACUAGUUGUGGGGUCCUUUCCACGGAUUCCGUGACGCAGCUAACGCAUUAAGUUCCCCGCCUGGGGAGUACGGCCGCAAGGCUAAAACUCAAAGGAAUUGACGGGGACCCGCACAAGCGGCGGAGCAUGCGGAUUAAUUCGAUGCAACGCGAAGAACCUUACCAAGGCUUGACAUACACGAGAACGGGCCAGAAAUGGUCAACUCUUUGGACACUCGUGAACAGGUGGUGCAUGGUUGUCGUCAGCUCGUGUCGUGAGAUGUUGGGUUAAGUCCCGCAACGAGCGCAACCCUCGUUCUAUGUUGCCAGCACGUAAUGGUGGGAACUCAUGGGAUACUGCCGGGGUCAACUCGGAGGAAGGUGGGGAUGACGUCAAAUCAUCAUGCCCCUUAUGUCUUGGGCUUCACGCAUGCUACAAUGGCCGGUACAAUGGGCUGCAAUACCGUGAGGUGGAGCGAAUCCCAAAAAGCCGGUCCCAGUUCGGAUUGAGGUCUGCAACUCGACCUCAUGAAGUCGGAGUCGCUAGUAAUCGCAGAUCAGCAACGCUGCGGUGAAUACGUUCCCGGGUCUUGUACA
RNAcentral lists this ribosomal RNA (1316 nucleotides) under Microbacterium esteraromaticum. RNAcentral's name for it is "bacterial SSU rRNA". It matches the Rfam family "Bacterial small subunit ribosomal RNA", at positions 60 to 1387 of the family's 1533-position model. Lineage: Bacteria; Bacillati; Actinomycetota; Actinomycetes; Micrococcales; Microbacteriaceae. The record is from RNAcentral.